RNAcentral lists this transfer RNA (67 nucleotides) under Marmota monax (woodchuck). RNAcentral's name for it is "tRNA.Ala". Lineage: Eukaryota; Metazoa; Chordata; Mammalia; Rodentia; Sciuridae. The record is from RNAcentral.
GAUGAUGGCUCAGUGGUAGAGUAUUUGCCUAGCAUGUAUGAGGCACUGGGUUCAAUUCUCAGCACCA